GACGAACGUUGGCGGCGUGCUUAACACAUGCAAGUCGAACGGAAAGGCCCUGCUUUUGUGGGGUGCUCGAGUGGCGAACGGGUGAGUAACACGUGAGUAACCUGCCCUUGACUUUGGGAUAACUUCAGAAAACUGGGGCUAAUACCGGAUAGGAGCUCCUGCUGCAUGGUGGGGGUUGGAAAGUUUCGGCGGUUGGGGAUGGACUCGCGGCUUAUCAGCUUGUUGGUGGGGUAGUGGCUUACCAAGGCUUUGACGGGUAGCCGGCCUGAGAGGGUGACCGGCCACAUUGGGACUGAGAUACGGCCCAGACUCCUACGGGAGGCAGCAGUGGGGAAUAUUGCACAAUGGGCGGAAGCCUGAUGCAGCAACGCCGCGUGCGGGAUGACGGCCUUCGGGUUGUAAACCGCUUUCGCCUGUGACGAAGCGUGAGUGACGGUAAUGGGUAAAGAAGCACCGGCUAACUACGUGCCAGCAGCCGCGGUGAUACGUAGGGUGCGAGCGUUGUCCGGAUUUAUUGGGCGUAAAGGGCUCGUAGGUGGUUGAUCGCGUCGGAAGUGUAAUCUUGGGGCUUAACCCUGAGCGUGCUUUCGAUACGGGUUGACUUGAGGAAGGCAGGGGAGAAUGGAAUUCCUGGUGGAGCGGUGGAAUGCGCAGAUAUCAGGAGGAACACCAGUGGCGAAGGCGGUUCUCUGGGCCUUUCCUGACGCUGAGGAGCGAAAGCGUGGGGAGCGAACAGGCUUAGAUACCCUGGUAGUCCACGCUGUAAACGGUGGGUACUAGGUGUGGGGUCCAUUCCACAGGUUCCGUGCCGUAGCUAACGCUUUAAGUACCCCGCCUGGGGAGUACGGCCGCAAGGCUAAAACUCAAAGGAAUUGACGGGGCCCCGCACAAGCGGCGGAGCAUGCGGAUUAAUUCGAUGCAACGCGUAGAACCUUACCUGGGUUUGACAUGGAUCGGGAGCGCUCAGAGAUGGGUGUGCCUCUUUUGGGGUCGGUUCACAGGUGGUGCAUGGCUGUCGUCAGCUCGUGUCGUGAGAUGUUGGGUUAAGUCCCGCAACGAGCGCAACCCUUGUUCACUGUUGCCAGCACGUUAUGGUGGGGACUCAGUGGAGACCGCCGGGGUCAACUCGGAGGAAGGUGGGGAUGACGUCAAGUCAUCGUGCCCCUUAUGUCCAGGGCUUCACGCAUGCUACAAUGGCUGGUACAGAGAGUGGCGAGCCUGUGAGGGUGAGCGAAUCUCGGAAAGCCGGUCUCAGUUCGGAUUGGGGUCUGCAACUCGACCUCAUGAAGUCGGAGUCGCUAGUAAUCGCAGAUCAGCAACGCUGCGGUGAAUACGUUCCCGGG
Molecule: ribosomal RNA, 1343 nt
Filed under: uncultured bacterium
Lineage: Bacteria
Description: 16S ribosomal RNA
Rfam family: Bacterial small subunit ribosomal RNA
Source: RNAcentral